CUUUACAACAAACAAAUUCCAAAUUUUUAAUUUGACAAUCAGCGAGGCCCUUGCGCAACAACUUACCACGUUUAGCGAUGCCUUCAAAAAGCACCCAUUGUGGACAAGAGAGAGGAUAGAAAGAAUUAUUACCAACAGUCAAGCUUUUCAACUUUCUUAAGCCUUGCAUCAACUCUUUCGAUCCAAAUAAAAAUGAUUCUACUUUACUAACCAUCAAGAAGUUUGCUGCGCUAAAACCUCUACCUAAUUCAACCUUUCUGCAUCCUUGGAUU
Molecule: unclassified non-coding RNA, 272 nt
Filed under: Hevea brasiliensis (rubber tree)
Lineage: Eukaryota; Viridiplantae; Streptophyta; Magnoliopsida; Malpighiales; Euphorbiaceae
Source: RNAcentral